GAUCAAGACCAGAAGAAGAAUCCCAGCACCCCUCCACCCGCAUCUUACCCCCUCCUCUCCAGCUUUAGCAUAAUUGCAUUCUCCAAAUGGUGUGUGGCAGCAGGAUAAGCUGAAAGGUCACUAGGAAGACGCCGAGUCACCCCACUGCAGACAGGCAGGUCUGCCCACGCCCUACCGAGGUCCCCAGUCUCGCGGAACACGCCGAAUCAGCCCGCUGCAGACAGGCAGGUCUGUGCACGCCCUACCGAGGUCCUGAGUCAAGCGGAAAACGCCGAAUCGGCCCGCUGCAGCUGCAGACAGGCAGGUCUGCCCACACCCUACCGAGGUCCCCAGUCUCGCGGAACACAUGCCGAAUCAGCCCGCUGCAGACAGGCAAGUCUGUGCAAGCCCUACCGAGGUCCUGAGUCACGAGGAAGACACCGAAUCACCCCACUGCAGACAGACAGCCACCUGAUUCCACAUUGCCAAGGCGCAGAGGACACCAGACCACCAGACCAAGUUUUGGUGUCAUGUGUCCUCUCCUGUCUUUCCUCAGGCUCUUGGUUGAAUGACUUAGAUCUCUGGAUUUCUACUUGUCAUCAAAUUUGGCCAUUCCUGGCAAAUGGAAUGAUAUGUAAGACAACAACAGGAGCAUGAAACAACAGGAUUCAUUUAGUACGAAUGCAAUAGGGGACAACGGCAUGUUCUGAGGCAGGAAGGUAUGAAAAGAAAGAAAGGAGGGACCAAAAGGGAUUUAGCAGCAUUCCUCCACCAUACCUUUGGGCCAUGCCAGUUCUGCUUUGGAGACUUCCAUCCACACAUGGACCAAGCCCUCUGAAAUCAAAAGAAAAAUGAACUUUUCAUCCUUUAUGUUGCUGGUGAUGGGUAUUCUGUGCCAGCAACAGGAAGGUCACUAAUACAAUUUUAUUUUCAGGCAAAUCUGCCUCUUGGAAUCAGGCAGAUCCUUGCAUUAUCCCAUGAACAGUGCCAUAGUUGAAGCUCAGUUUCCUCAUCCAUCAAGUGGAGAUACUAAAAAUGGUUAUUUCAUAGGGUGACUGUGAGGAGCCUGUAAGAUUACAUAUAUAAAAUCAUGUACAACUGACUUGAAUAGUAGUGUUUGUCCCUCUUCCCUCUUUUCUCCAAUCUAGCUUACAGAUAAAUGUUAAU
Long non-coding RNA from Heterocephalus glaber (naked mole-rat), 1146 nucleotides. NCBI's taxonomy places the organism in Eukaryota, Metazoa, Chordata, Mammalia, Rodentia, Bathyergidae. The record is from Ensembl.